This 406-nucleotide ribosomal RNA is filed under the name uncultured bacterium. RNAcentral describes it as "partial 16S ribosomal RNA". It matches the Rfam family "Bacterial small subunit ribosomal RNA", at positions 30 to 526 of the family's 1533-position model. The record is from RNAcentral.
AUUGAACGCUGGCGGCAGGCCUAACACAUGCAAGUCGCACGAGUGGCGGACGGGUGAGUAAUGUCUGGGAAACUGCCCGAUGGAGGGGGAUAACUACUGGAAACGGUAGCUAAUACCGCAUACCAUCGGAUGUGCCCCGAUGGGAUUAGCUCGUAGGUGGGGUAACGGCUCACCUAGGCGACGAUCCCUAGCGGGUCUGAGAGGAUGACCAGCCACACUGGAACUGAGACACGGUCCAUAUUCCUACGGGAGGCAGCAGUGGUGAAUAUUGCACAAUGGGCGCAAGCCUGAUGCAGCCAGGCCGCGUGUAGGAAGAAGGCCUUCGGGUUGUAAAGUACUUUCAGCGAGGAGGCGUUACUCGCAGAAGAAGCACCGGCUAACUCCGUGCCAGCAGCCGCGGUAAUUC